This is a non-coding RNA of Mycena latifolia, 90 nucleotides long. Lineage: Eukaryota; Fungi; Basidiomycota; Agaricomycetes; Agaricales; Mycenaceae. The record is from the annotation of a GenBank genome assembly.
GACUCAGUGGCAAAGUGGUUUUGCAUCCGCCUACUUUACAUGAUUUUUUAGGUUCCGCGGAAGACGCUCGUUCGAUUCGGGCCUGGGUCA